This 24-nucleotide small RNA is filed under the name Arabidopsis thaliana (thale cress). Its description in RNAcentral is "ATSL068830". The record is from RNAcentral. Lineage: Eukaryota; Viridiplantae; Streptophyta; Magnoliopsida; Brassicales; Brassicaceae.
AUUGAAGACUGGAUGCAACAAUCU